GACGAACGCUGGCGGCGUGCUUAACACAUGCAAGUCGAACGGUGAAGCGCCUUCCUUUUUGGUGGGUGUGGAUGAGUGGCGAACGGGUGAGUAACACGUUAGUAACCUUCCCCCUCCUUCUGGAUAACCGCAUGAAAGUGUGGCUAAUACGGGAUAUUCUGGGUCUGUCGCAUGAUUGGUCUGGGAAAGAUUUUGUUUCGGUGGGGGAUGGGCUCGCGGCCUAUCAGCUUGUUGGUGGGGUGACGGCCUACCAAGGCGGUGACGCGUAGCCGGCCUGAGAGGGUGGGCGGUCCCGGUGGGGCUACGCCACCGCCCCGACUACGACAGGCAGCAGCAGGGAAUAUUACUGCACGAUGGGCGGCAGGCUGGAGCAGCGCCGCCGCGGGGAGGAUGGAGGCCUUCGGGUUGUGAGCCUCUUUCGCCAGUGAAGCAGGGCUGCCUCGUUUGUGGGUGUGUUGACGGUAGCUGGAUAAGAAGCGCCGGCUAACUACGUG
This 494-nucleotide ribosomal RNA is filed under the name uncultured bacterium. RNAcentral's name for it is "partial 16S ribosomal RNA". It matches the Rfam family "Bacterial small subunit ribosomal RNA", at positions 28 to 507 of the family's 1533-position model. The record is from RNAcentral.